UGUGUUAAAAUGCUUGUCCCAGCUUGC
RNAcentral lists this non-coding RNA (27 nucleotides) under Mus musculus (house mouse). The record is from RNAcentral. Lineage: Eukaryota; Metazoa; Chordata; Mammalia; Rodentia; Muridae.